GACGUAGGGCGCAAGCGUUGUCCGGAUUUAUUGGGCGUAAAGAGCUCGUAGGCGGCUUGUCGCGUCGACUGUGAAAACCUGCGGCUCAACCGUAUGGUCUGCAGUCGAUACGGGCAGGCUAGAGUUCGGUAGGGGAGACUGGAAUUCCUGGUGUAGCGGUGAAAUGCGCAGAUAUCAGGAGGAACACCGGUGGCGAAGGCGGGUCCCUGGACAACACCUGACACUGAGGCACGAAAGCUAGGGGAGCAAACAGG
RNAcentral lists this ribosomal RNA (254 nucleotides) under uncultured bacterium. RNAcentral describes it as "partial 16S ribosomal RNA". It matches the Rfam family "Bacterial small subunit ribosomal RNA", at positions 524 to 776 of the family's 1533-position model. The record is from RNAcentral.